UGGGGAAUUUUGGACAAUGGGCGAAAGCCUGAUCCAGCAAUGCCGCGUGUGUGAAGAAGGCCUUAGGGUUGUAAAGCACUUUUGUCCGGAAAGAAAUCCUUGGCUCUAAUACAGUCGGGGGAUGACGGUACCGGAAGAAUAAGCACCGGCUAACUACGUGCCAGCAGCCGCGGUAAUACGUAGGGUGCAAAGCGUUAAUCGGAAUUACUGGGCGUAAAGCGUGCGCAGGCGGUUUGCUAAGACCGAUGUGAAAUCCCCGGGCUCAACCUGGGAACUGCAUUGGUGACUGGCAGGCUAGAGUAUGGCAGAGGGGGGUAGAAUUCCACGUGUAGCAGUGAAAUGCGUAGAGAUGUGGAGGAAUACCGAUGGCGAAGGCAGCCCCCCUGGGCCAAUACUGACGCUCAUGCACGAAAGCGUGGGGAGCAAACAGGAUUAGAUACCCUGGUAGUCCACGCCCUAAAACGAUGUCAACUAGUUGUUGGGGGAUUCAUUUCCUUAGUAACGUAGCUAACGCGUGAAGUUGACCGCCUGGGGAGUACGUCGCAAGAUUAAAACUCAAAUGAAUUGACGGGGUCAUAGCUGUUUCCU
This 588-nucleotide ribosomal RNA is filed under the name uncultured bacterium. RNAcentral describes it as "partial 16S ribosomal RNA". It matches the Rfam family "Bacterial small subunit ribosomal RNA", at positions 355 to 1375 of the family's 1533-position model. The record is from RNAcentral.